GGGGAAUAUUGCACAAUAGGGGAAACCCUGAUGCAGCGACGCCGCGUGGAGGAAGAAGGUCUUCGGAUUGUAAACUCCUGUUGUUGAGGAAGAUAAUGACGGUACUCAACAAGGAAGUGACGGCUAACUACGUGCCAGCAGCCGCGGUAAAACGUAGGUCACAAGCGUUGUCCGGAAUUACUGGGUGUAAAGGGAGCGCAGGCGGGCGAUCAAGUUGGAAGUGAAAUCCAUGGGCUCAACCCAUGAACUGCUUUCAAAACUGGUCGUCUUGAGUAGUGCAGAGGUAGGCGGAAUUCCCGGUGUAGCGGUGGAAUGCGUAGAUAUCGGGAGGAACACCAGUGGCGAAGGCGGCCUACUGGGCACCAACUGACGCUGAGGCUCGAAAGUGUGGGUAGCAAACAGGAUUAGAUACCCUGGUAGUCCACACCGUAAACGAUGAUUACUAGGUGUUGGGAGAUUGACCCUCUCAGUGCCGCAGUUAACACAAUAAGUAAUCCACCUGGGGAGUACGACCGCAAGGUUGAAACUCAAAGGAAUUGACGGGGGCCCGCACAAGCAGUGGAGUAUGUGGUUUAAUUCGACGCAACGCGAAGAACCUUACCAAGUCUUGACAUCCCUUGACGAUGCUGGAAACAGUAUUUCUCUUCGGAGCAAGGAGACAGGUGGUGCAUGGUUGUCGUCAGCUCGUGUCGUGAGAUGUUGGGUUAAGUCCCGCAACGAGCGCAACCCUUAUGGUCAGUUACUACGCAAGAGGACUCUGGUCAGACUGCCGUUGACAAAACGGAGGAAGGUGGGGAUGACGUCAAAUCAUCAUGCCCUUUAUGACUUGGGCUACACACGUACUACAAUGGCGUUAAACAAAGAGAAGCAAGACCGCGAGGUGGAGCAAAACUCAGAAACAACGUCCCAGUUCGGACUGCAGGCUGCAACUCGCCUGCACGAAGUCGGAAUUGCUAGUAAUCGUGGAUCAGCAUGCCACGGUGAAUACGUUCCCG
Molecule: ribosomal RNA, 995 nt
Filed under: uncultured bacterium
Lineage: Bacteria
Description: bacterial SSU rRNA
Rfam family: Bacterial small subunit ribosomal RNA
Source: RNAcentral